RNAcentral lists this ribosomal RNA (960 nucleotides) under Enterobacter hormaechei. Its description in RNAcentral is "bacterial SSU rRNA". It matches the Rfam family "Bacterial small subunit ribosomal RNA", at positions 42 to 976 of the family's 1533-position model. The record is from RNAcentral. Lineage: Bacteria; Pseudomonadati; Pseudomonadota; Gammaproteobacteria; Enterobacterales; Enterobacteriaceae.
GAGUGCGCGGCUACACAUGCAAGUCGAACGGUAACAGGAAGCAGCUUGCUGCUUCGCUGACGAGUGGCGGACGGGUGAGUAAUGUCUGGGAAACUGCCUGAUGGAGGGGGAUAACUACUGGAAACGGUAGCUAAUACCGCAUAACGUCGCAAGACCAAAGAGGGGGACCUUCGGGCCUCUUGCCAUCGGAUGUGCCCAGAUGGGAUUAGCUAGUAGGUGGGGUAACGGCUCACCUAGGCGACGAUCCCUAGCUGGUCUGAGAGGAUGACCAGCCACACUGGAACUGAGACACGGUCCAGACUCCUACGGGAGGCAGCAGUGGGGAAUAUUGCACAAUGGGCGCAAGCCUGAUGCACCCAUGCCGCGUGUAUGAAGAAGGCCUUCGGGUUGUAAAGUACUUUCAGCGGGGAGGAAGGCGAUGAGGUUAAUAACCUUGUCUAUUGACUUUCCCCGCAAAAAAAGCACCGGCUAACUCCGUGCCAGCAGCCGCGGUAAUACGGAGGGUGCAAGCGUUAAUCGAAAUUACUGGGCGUAAAGCGCACGCGGGCGGUCUGUCAAGUCGGAUGUGAAAUCCCCGGGCUCAACCUGGGAACUGCAUUCGAAACUGGCAGGCUAGAGUCUUGUAGAGGGGGGUAGAAUUCCGGGUGUAGCGGAGAAAUGCGUAGAGAUCUGGAGGAAUACCGGUGGAGAAGGCGGCCCCCUGGACAAAGACUGACGCUCAGGUGCGAAAGCGUGGGGAGCAAACGGGAUUAUAUACCCUGGUAGUCCACGCCAUAAACGAUGUCGACUUGGAGGUUGUGCCCUUGAGGCGUGGUCUUCCAGAGCUAACGCGUGAAGUCGACCGACGUGGGGGUAGUACGGUCGACGAGGAUAACAUCUCAGAUGCAAUUCGACGGGGGACCGCCACAGCGGCUGUAGCAUGCUGUAUUAUUCGAAUGACAGCGUCGAAGCAACUCUUUU